RNAcentral lists this ribosomal RNA (164 nucleotides) under Brachypodium boissieri. RNAcentral describes it as "5.8S ribosomal RNA". It matches the Rfam family "5.8S ribosomal RNA". From Rfam's summary of the family: 5.8S ribosomal RNA (5.8S rRNA) is a component of the large subunit of the eukaryotic ribosome. It is transcribed by RNA polymerase I as part of the 45S precursor that also contains 18S and 28S rRNA. The record is from RNAcentral. Lineage: Eukaryota; Viridiplantae; Streptophyta; Magnoliopsida; Poales; Poaceae.
GACACGACUCUCGGCAACGGAUAUCUCGGCUCUCGCAUCGAUGAAGAAUGUAGCGAAAUGCGAUACAUGGUGUGAAUUGCAGAAUCCCGCGAACCAUCGAGUCUUUGAACGCAAGUUGCGCCCGAGGCCACCCGGCCGAGGGCACGCCUGCCUGGGCGUCACGC